AUACGGAGGGUGCAAGCGUUGUUCGGAAUUAUUGGGCGUAAAGAGCAUGUAGGCGGACUGUUAAGUCUGGUGUGAAAGCCCGGGGCUCAACCCCGGAAGUGCAUUGGAUACUGGCAGUCUUGAGUAUGGGAGAGGAAAGUGGAAUUCCGAGUGUAGGAGUGAAAUCCGUAGAUAUUCGGAGGAACACCAGUGGCGAAGGCGGCUUUCUGGACCAAUACUGACGCUGAGAUGCGAAAGCGUGGGGAGCGAACAGGAUUAGAUACCCGUGUAGUCC
Molecule: ribosomal RNA, 274 nt
Filed under: uncultured bacterium
Lineage: Bacteria
Description: partial 16S ribosomal RNA
Rfam family: Bacterial small subunit ribosomal RNA
Source: RNAcentral